Long non-coding RNA from Magallana angulata, 300 nucleotides. RefSeq lists it as uncharacterized. The record is from RefSeq and is a predicted model, not a curated record. The transcript has 4 exons. Lineage: Eukaryota; Metazoa; Mollusca; Bivalvia; Ostreida; Ostreidae.
GCGGGAUGGACACACUAUCGUAAACAAACAGAGUGUCUUGGUGACAAUACUUCUUGGUGCCUAAAGGGGACAGACCGUCUCCGCGGGUUGGAGGAGGGAUCUCGGGGGGAGAUCAGAAAAGGAUCAAACACAACGGUGAAGACACCAGGGCUUGAGGUCACUGAGGUGAAAAUGAAGGAGACCGAGUUUGAUGAUAGCCCGCCAAGCGCAAACACCCGUUCCAGGGUCAGUCUUUAAAUCACAAACGAUUCCUGUCAACAAUGUAAAACUAAACCUGAUAACAAAAUUAUGAAAAACGUA